RNAcentral lists this long non-coding RNA (245 nucleotides) under Mytilus galloprovincialis (Mediterranean mussel). Lineage: Eukaryota; Metazoa; Mollusca; Bivalvia; Mytilida; Mytilidae. The record is from RNAcentral.
CAUUGAGACAAACUAGUUUUUCUGUGGACAAUUGAAUUUAAGUUUGUCAAAAGUCUGCAUUCAAGCUUAUAGAAUUUGCACUCUUUUCAGUUGUAAACACAGAUUUGACUUGACACAGUUCAAGGUGUGGAAAUUUAUAUUCAAAUCACAUUUUUCUGUCAGUGAAGCAAAUAAUGUUGUAUUUUGCCAGCAAAAUUUGAAUUUGAUAAAUAUUGGAGGAAGAUUAAAGAUUUGACACUACUUAA